UACGUAGGGUGCAAGCGUUAAUCGGAAUUACUGGGCGUAAAGCGUGCGCAGGCGGUUUUGUAAGUCUGACGUGAAAUCCCCGGGCUUAACCUGGGAAUUGCGAUGGUGACUGCAAGGCUAGAGUUUGGCAGAGGGGGGUAGAAUUCCACGUGUAGCAGUGAAAUGCGUAGAGAUGUGGAGGAACACCGAUGGCGAAGGCAGCCCCCUGGGUCAAAACUGACGCUCAUGCACGAAAGCGUGGGGAGCAAACAGG
RNAcentral lists this ribosomal RNA (253 nucleotides) under uncultured bacterium. RNAcentral's name for it is "partial 16S ribosomal RNA". It matches the Rfam family "Bacterial small subunit ribosomal RNA", at positions 524 to 776 of the family's 1533-position model. The record is from RNAcentral.